UUGGGUGAAAUUCAUGAGGAUACCACACAUUAGAAAUGGAUCCAACAUAAAGUGGUGAGACUCAUAUGAGUUUCACCCAA
Molecule: microRNA precursor, 80 nt
Filed under: Medicago truncatula (barrel medic)
Lineage: Eukaryota; Viridiplantae; Streptophyta; Magnoliopsida; Fabales; Fabaceae
Description: MIR5269 microRNA precursor family
Source: Rfam by way of RNAcentral